This 253-nucleotide ribosomal RNA is filed under the name uncultured bacterium. RNAcentral's name for it is "partial 16S ribosomal RNA". It matches the Rfam family "Bacterial small subunit ribosomal RNA", at positions 524 to 776 of the family's 1533-position model. The record is from RNAcentral.
UACGAAGGGGGCUAGCGUUGCUCGGCCUGACGGGGCGUAAAGGGCGCGUCGGCGGACUGCACAGUCAGGCGUGAAAUUCCUGGGCUUAACCUGUGGACUGCGUCUGAGACGUGUGAUCUAGAGUGAGGAAGAGGGUCGUGGAAUUUCCAGUGUAGAGGUGAAAUUCGUAGAUAUUGUAAAGAACACCGGUGGCGAAGGCGGCGACCUGGUCCUUGACUGACGCUGAGGCGCGAAAGCGUGGGGAGCAAACAGG